AUAUAUACAAUUAAGAUCGUUUUAACGAUUAACUGACAUGAUCAGUAUUACAAGAAUGGAGAUUUGGAGGAGCAUGGCAUUGCUCGAACCUUCACUUGGAGAAUCGACGAUCUGACGAAUGAACCAAAUCUCCGCCAUACAGGACUCGAACUCGAUGAAGCGGCGUUUGUUGAUCUCGUUAUCGAUUCUAAUCAAGAAGACAUCCAAAACUGGCCUUAUGGUUACGUGUUACUUUGGGACCCAUCGGAAAUUUGGAUAUAACAUCUCGUGUAAUAAAUCGCAGCGGGAAAUGUUUCUCAUUCAAAUUUGACUUUCACACCUGCUUUUCUAUCUCAAAUAUUAGGUAAUCGAUGUACUGUUUUUUUCUUUUAUUAUUAUAAAAUGAAAUAAAUUAAUAAUCCCAUUUCCAAUGAUACUGAGAUUGAAGGAUUGGAGACUGUGGAGUAUCUAGACUUUUUGCAGGACGACAAUCGAUUUAUUGAAGGGGAUGAGUCUAUUGUUAUCGAUGAUAAAGUGUGUCUGUAUAAAAAUAGAUUAAUUCUUCUGAUUUUUACCAAUGAUUAUGAAUUUAUACGCUUGUUGACUUGACUUCGAUUUUCGUUUUAGCUGGACAGGAUGUAUCUAGAUACUCCUGAGCAGAUCUCUGUUAGGGACAAUCAGGCUGGAAGAACUUUUACGAUUAGUAAAAGUGUAGAUCUACCUGAUGUUGGUAAAUGUUUAUAGAUAUACAAACUUGAUAGUGAUUUUGUAUUUCAAUGCAACGUAUUAUUUAAUAAAACUUCCGUUAUAAUUU
Erythranthe guttata (spotted monkey flower) is the source of this 793-nucleotide non-coding RNA. Lineage: Eukaryota; Viridiplantae; Streptophyta; Magnoliopsida; Lamiales; Phrymaceae. The record is from RefSeq and is a predicted model, not a curated record.